CUCCUGUUUACAUCUUUGUCUGUAUAUCUUGUUUUAUAUUAUUCUAUUUUGCUCUCAAUUUACAACAGUGGUAUUAUAAAUUUGGACGGAAAGAGUAAUUAUGAAAAUUCCCCAUUUACAAUGAAACCCGAUUCCCGCUCGAAGUCGAAGGAAAUAGGGAAUCUAAUGCCGGCGCUGAAAUAAGGCCAUGGACGACGUCGAUCGCUUAUUCCACUGCUUCAAAUGCGGCAUUUCUCCCCCUCAAUCAGCAAUAAGAGAAAGGAAAAAGGGAAAGCUGAGUGUGAAACAAAAUGAUACAUUGGAAAAGCUAUCAACAGCUUCAGAUAUUGUGUCGUCAACAUCAAAGGGAAAGAAGGUCCAAAAUGCAACAGAUGUUGACUUCAAUGUCGGUUCAUUAACAGCAAAUAUACAAAAUAAGAAGAAGGGACCUCAGUUCUCUCCCCUUGUAUUUUAUGGUUCUCCACAUGGAGUUCCUCCAAAAAGACCUGCUCGUUUGUUGCGCCUUUUGAAUGAAAUCCGUGUAGAUUUUAACGAGCAAAAUAAAUUAAGACAAGAUAUAUGGGCCACAUUUCCAAGGCAAGAUGAAGCUAUCAAGUAUGCAAAAGAGCAAACUAAUGCUCAUGUUUUCAGUUACCAGGAUCAUAUGAAUGGUCAAAGAAGAUUCCUUGUCUCCACAUAUAAAGAGUUCUGGAGAAGGUACGAAACUAUGAAUCCUAAAUUUCGGCACCACUAUGAAGUAAUCCAGGAGGGAUUGCCAUGCCAUCUCUACUUUGAUCUGGAGUUCAACAAGAGAGAGAAUGCGGAUAAAAAUGGAGAUGAAAUGGUUGACCUUCUGAUACAGGUCGUCUUUGAUGCGGUCAAGGAAAAGUACUGUCUUGAAGGAAACAAUGAUUGGGUUGUGGAGCUUGAUUCCUCCAAUGAAGAAAAAUUUUCUCGUCAUCUAAUUAUUCGAUUUCCAAAGGCUGCUUUCAAGGACAACUCGCAUGCAGGUGCAUUUGUUACUGAGAUAUGUUCAAGGAUCAGUAGCUUAAGUGAAAGUGAUGGAAUAUUUAGAAAGCUUUUUGUCUCAAAGGAUUCAAGCUCAAUCGAUAUUCCAUUUCAACUGUUUGUGGAUAAAGCUGUCUACUCUAGAAAUCGCUGCUUUCGCCUAGCCUUGUCAUCUAAAGCUGGGAAGAGUUCAGUGCUUCUGCCAAGUGGACGUUUUAAAUGUAAGGACAUGACUGAGGAAGAAGUGUUUAUGGCAUCCUUGAUUUGCAACAUGGAUGCUGAUUUUGAGAAGCUACUGAUCUGCAAAAUGGAUCUAGAUUGCGUGAAGGCCCUUCAAUUUGAUACAGAGAGUACCGGGAAUUUCCAACUGCAUUCUGCUGUUUCACUGAACUUUGACCUAAAUGCUUGUACAAGCGAUCCUUCAAGAACUUAUUUGAUGGGAAAAUCACCGUUUCCAUAUCUGGAUGUGUUUGUAGAGUCUGUUGCUUCAAUUGGAACUAUACCAGGAAAAAUCCGAAGUUGGUACUGGUUCUCGGAGUAUGCAUUGAUGGUCUACAACAUGUCUAGAAAUAGAUACUGUGAAAGAAUUGGCAGACAACAUAAAAGCAAUAACGUUAUAUACGUAGUUGAUCUGCAAAGGGCUGUUUAUUAUCAGAAGUGUCACGAUCCUGAUUGCAGAGGCUAUCGAUCUCCCUUGCGACCUGUCCCUGAUAAUGUUAUACCUCAUUCAUCCAUUCCCUUCAAUCUGCCUGGACAUAAUUUGGACGAGGACCAGCCAACUGUAACCGGUGACAAAAGCAUUUUCAGCAGCUGCAAGAAAGAAUGGUGGCUUGAAGCCAUAAGAGUUGCAGACAACAUUGAGAACGUACAAAAAGCAUUGGAUCUUACUGAGCUAUCCCACACAGGUGAAAUUUCAUCAUGGUUAGGAUGUCUCAUGUAUCUCAGAUCUCGGGGAAAAUUGAUAUGAUAGGAUUUAAAUAGCAGAACCUAAACUUUAGCUGAUACUGAAGCUCAGUAGCUGAACACUGCAAAGGGACGGAACAUGUGAAGAAGAUGAGUGGUGGAUGGCUGUUGAAAGGACUGCAUACCAGACAGAGCUAUCCUACUCUGGAAAAGCUUAGCCAUUUCAGCUCUUUCAAAUUGUUCGAUCCUUACUUGUAAGCAUGGAGGUUUCGAGGUCCAGCUAGUUGGCGUUAGUGGUUCCCCAACCACAUCACAAAUUGUGUUCCUGUUAAUUGAUGAUUUCUCAAUUUUGUCUACUUAUCCUGCUAAAAGCAGUGCAUGCUGGAAAGCUACAUAUGUUGCUACAUUCCAACAUUGUAUUGCUCAACGAGGUUUGAAUAUUAGGACUUUUUUUAAUCAAUAAAGCUUUUCAAGUUACAGCCUGAAACAAAAAUCAAGAAAUAUCACGACCUCCUUUAUUAA
Molecule: RNA transcript, 2412 nt
Organism: Lycium ferocissimum
Lineage: Eukaryota; Viridiplantae; Streptophyta; Magnoliopsida; Solanales; Solanaceae
Exons: 15
Source: RefSeq, a predicted model, not a curated record